Molecule: ribosomal RNA, 236 nt
Filed under: Bacillus amyloliquefaciens
Lineage: Bacteria; Bacillati; Bacillota; Bacilli; Caryophanales; Bacillaceae
Description: partial 16S ribosomal RNA
Rfam family: Bacterial small subunit ribosomal RNA
Source: RNAcentral
UUACCCUGGGAGACCGGGGAUCCUCUUCGGAGGCGUGCACACAGGUGCUGCAUGGCUGUCGUCAGCUCGUGUCGUGAGAUGUUGGGUUAAGUCCCGCAACGAGCGCAACCCACGUCCUUAGUUGCCAUCAUUGAGUUGGGCACUCUAGGGAGACUGCCGGUGAUAAGCCGCGAGGAAGGUGUGGAUGACGUCAAGUCCUCAUGGCCCUUACGGGAUGGGCUACACACGUGCUACAA